UCAAGCGUUGUUCGGAUUCAUUGGGCGUAAAGGGUGCGUAGGUGGCGCUGUAAGUCGGGUGUGAAAUUUCGGAGCUUAACUCCGAAACUGCAUUCGAUACUGCGGUGCUUGAGGACUGGAGAGGAGACUGGAAUUCAUGGUGUAGCAGUGAAAUGCGUAGAGAUCAUGAGGAAGACCAGUGGCGAAGGCGGGUCUCUGGACAGUUCCUGACACUGAGGCACGAAGGCCAGGGGAGCAAACGGG
Molecule: ribosomal RNA, 243 nt
Filed under: uncultured bacterium
Lineage: Bacteria
Description: partial 16S ribosomal RNA
Rfam family: Bacterial small subunit ribosomal RNA
Source: RNAcentral